GUAGGUGGCAAGCGUUGUCCGGAAUUAUUGGGCGUAAAGCGCGCGCAGGUGGUUCUUUAAGUCUGAUGUGAAAGCCCACGGCUCAACCGGGGAGGGUCAUUGGAAACUGGGGAACUUGAGUGCAGGAGAGGAAAGUGGAAUUCCACGUGUAGCGGUGAAAUGCGUAGAUAUGUGGAGGAACACCAGUGGCGAAGGCGACUUUCUGGCCUGUAACUGACACUGAGGCGCGAAAGCGUGGGGAGCAAACAGGGAUUAGAUACCCUGGUAGUCCACGCCGUAAACGAUGAGUGCUAAGUGUUGGGGGGGUUUCCCGCCCCUCAGUGCUGCAGCUAACGCAUUAAGCACUCCGCCUGGGGAUACGGCCGCAAGACUG
Molecule: ribosomal RNA, 373 nt
Filed under: uncultured organism
Description: partial 16S ribosomal RNA
Rfam family: Bacterial small subunit ribosomal RNA
Source: RNAcentral